This is a long non-coding RNA of Nicotiana tabacum (common tobacco), 1143 nucleotides long. RefSeq lists it as uncharacterized. The record is from RefSeq and is a predicted model, not a curated record. Lineage: Eukaryota; Viridiplantae; Streptophyta; Magnoliopsida; Solanales; Solanaceae.
UACUAAAAUCUAAAUCCCUAAUUUUAGUACAACCCCCACUCAUUCCUUCGGCAUUCUCUCCCAAAGAUUGACAUAGGCCUCUAUCGUUCAUCCGGAAAUUACUAGGAGCCCAUCCAUCAUCGGCGGCUGCUUUUCCCAAAAUCCCCAAAAGUCAGUUUUUUUCCGUUUUCGAUCGAGGAUGAAUGUACACAGGCUUUGCAUUCAGAUCCUAUUGUUACAAAUAUUGCAGGGUAAUAUUUUUACACUAAUCCUUUAGGGUUUCUCCAAUUGGUGUUCGAGUUUAUGGUCAGAGAAUCGAAAGACAAGUUGAAAAUCGAAGAGCCCUCAUUCUUUCUUGUUCAACUUAUUAAUUUCUUCCUUCCUUAAAGUGAAAACGUCCAAAACCAAUACAGAGAAUCGAAAAGAGUUGAGGUAUCCACACACUGAUUGCAAAAAGUUAUGCUCUAAUCUGCGAGGCAAAAAAGACGGAAAUUGUUGAUACUUCGGAUACUUUAUCAAGUAAGGACAUCUUUGUGGCUACAAGAAAAAGAAAACAUGGUCGAGUAUACAAAGGCUCAUAUGAGAAUAUAAUUAGUAAAACUGCUGAAAUGGUGAGAAUACAAUCAACUCAAGAAAGUAAAGAUGGCAGUGAUUAAGUUGGCGCUUUUGCAUCAGUCAUGCGACCUGAGCAUCCAGGUCGCAAAAGAUUGUAUGGUCGAGGAGUUACCAAGACUAUCUUAAAAAAGAAAAUGAGAGAUUCUAGAUCCUCUGUAGAUGCUACUGAUAAGACGAUGCAACAAAAAAUAGAGGAAAUGGAAGAGAGGAUGCAACAAAGAAUGAAGGAAAAGUUCAAUCGUCAGCAGUAACAAUCAAGCUUAUCCAUUUUAAGAGUUGUAUGUUAAUUUCCGUUGGAGGAUACUAACGUAAAGGUGGAGUAGAUGAAAAAAAUAGAAGACCGAGGCAGUGAAGAUCUAGACCUUAAGAAGAAUUUUGAAUUGGUGUAGAUGCAUGGUCUAGGAUUAAUGUUUGUUAUCAACAUUUUGAAACUUGCUUCUGACUCUUGAAAUGUAAAACGUGUGCUAUUGGGGUAGAACAUUUCACUUUUAUGAAUAUUAUUAGCUUGUUGGACAAUUUAGAUUAUGAAUAGUUUUAUUUUGUUAUUUA